GUGUACCACUCGUACUAUGCCGGCUUUGAGUACGCCGUCCGCAGCCACCUGCCAUUGCUCGCAACGUUUUUACAGCC
RNAcentral lists this small RNA (77 nucleotides) under Xanthomonas hortorum. RNAcentral's name for it is "sX9 sRNA". It matches the Rfam family "Xanthomonas sRNA sX9". Lineage: Bacteria; Pseudomonadati; Pseudomonadota; Gammaproteobacteria; Lysobacterales; Lysobacteraceae. RNAcentral also lists the same sequence under 6 other names. The record is from RNAcentral.